GCUGUGUGUCUCAAAUUGUUAAAGAUAGUAUUGGUAGCAACUGGCGAGUUAAAAUUUUAGUUGGAACACUAUAGGUCUAUUAUGGAUAUUGAGAAGGUCACUGAAAGGUACCGACUUUUCCAGGUCAAAGUAUAGCUCCAUUGUUUCAUGGUGCAAAAAAUCUGCUUUAAUAUGACGUACAUAAAAAAAUAAGCGAAAAACGAUACGAUAAAAAUCACAUUAGAAAGCUUUAAAUCUAAAUUUAACAAGGUACAGUUUGUUUCUGGCUUUUUUUGUGUCGGUUAAAAUGUCUCAACACAAUGACGGAAUGUUUCUUAUUGUAAUUCAACAAAGAAAACUUUUGUAACUGUUAAGUUUUAAUGAAUAGUAAUGACAGACUCUAGGCAAGAAGUCGAAUCAACACUUUACAAUACAAGACAAAAUAACAUCAACACUUUAGUGUGAUUAAGUGGGAAAUGACAGUGUAUCGGGUAACAUGUUAGUUUGAGGUCACAUGCCGCGAUCAUUCUUGUUUUGAGAGGUUCAACAAUAAAAAUUGUGGGAUCACAAACUAAAAUAUUUCUGAGGACAUUAUUUCACAUGAGGGGCUAUUAUAACGUGAAAACAUUUAGGUAGUUGCUCUGUGGAAAUCUGUAAUUCAUUUUAAAUCGAAUCGAUCAAAAUUUGCCGUUACAAUCGGGGACAGUCAUUAUUCAAAUUUUUACACCAGAUUCAAUGUUAUUAAGUGUGAACAUCCCUUAAUGUUGUACUAUUGGGUUGUGAAGAUUCAAAAUAUUUAGCUGAAAAUUAAUUAAAUUCCCCAAAU
Molecule: long non-coding RNA, 805 nt
Filed under: Mytilus galloprovincialis (Mediterranean mussel)
Lineage: Eukaryota; Metazoa; Mollusca; Bivalvia; Mytilida; Mytilidae
Source: RNAcentral